GACGAACGCUGGCGGCGUGCUUAACACAUGCAAGUCGAACGGUAAGGCUCCAGCUUGCUGGGGUACACGAGUGGCGAACGGGUGAGUAACACGUGGGUGACCUGCCCUGCACUUCGGGAUAAGCCGGGGAAACUGGGUCUAAUACCGGAUAGGACCAUGGUGUGGAUACUGUGGUUGAAAGUUUUUUCGGUGUGGGAUGGGCCCGCGGCCUAUCAGCUUGUUGGGGGGGUAAUGGCCUACCAAGGCGGCGACGGGUAGCCGGCAUGAGAGGGUGGACGGCCACCUUGGGACUGAGACACGGACCAGAGUCCUACGGGAGACAGCAGUGGGGAAUAUUGCACAGUGGGCGGAAGCCUGAUGCAGCGACGCCGCGUGGGGGAUGAAGGCCUUCGGGUUGUGAACUCCUUUCACCAUCGACGAUGGGUUUCUGACGGUAGAUGGAGAAGAAGCACCGGCUAACUACGUG
Molecule: ribosomal RNA, 466 nt
Filed under: uncultured bacterium
Lineage: Bacteria
Description: partial 16S ribosomal RNA
Rfam family: Bacterial small subunit ribosomal RNA
Source: RNAcentral